AGCAUCGGUGGUUCAGUGGUAGAAUGCUCGCCUGCCACGCGGGCGGCCCGGGUUCGAUUCCCAAUGGUUCGAACCAUGCCU
This 81-nucleotide transfer RNA is filed under the name Cordylochernes scorpioides. Its description in RNAcentral is "tRNA-Gly". The stretch from base 2 to 71 matches the Rfam family "tRNA". From Rfam's summary of the family: Transfer RNA (tRNA) molecules are approximately 80 nucleotides in length. Their secondary structure includes four short double-helical elements and three loops (D, anti-codon, and T loops). Lineage: Eukaryota; Metazoa; Arthropoda; Arachnida; Pseudoscorpiones; Chernetidae. The record is from RNAcentral.